GCGAAAUAGGGGGGAGGAGGUUAGGUAAGGCGUAGGGGUGAGGUGUUGGCCGGAGUUAGUGGGCGUAAAGAGCGUGUAGGCGGCGUGGGAAGUCCUGUGUGAAAACUCGAGGCGCGACCGCGAGACGCCGGUGGAAACUGCAAAGCUAGAGUCCGGAAGAGGAGAGUGGAAUUCCUGGUGUAGCGGUGAAAUGCGCAGAUAUCAGGAAGAACACCCGUGGCGAAGGCGGCUCUCUGGGACGGUACUGACGCUGAGACGCGAAAGCGUGGGGAGCGAACAGGAUUAGAUACCCGUGUAGUC
This 300-nucleotide ribosomal RNA is filed under the name uncultured Natrialba sp. RNAcentral describes it as "bacterial SSU rRNA". The stretch from base 52 to 300 matches the Rfam family "Bacterial small subunit ribosomal RNA", at positions 547 to 795 of the family's 1533-position model. Lineage: Archaea; Methanobacteriati; Methanobacteriota; Halobacteria; Halobacteriales; Natrialbaceae. The record is from RNAcentral.